GGAAGUGGUUCAGUGGUAGAAUGAUUGCCUGCCAAGCGGACGACCCGGGUUCGAUUUCCAGCCA
This is a non-coding RNA of Parelaphostrongylus tenuis, 64 nucleotides long. NCBI's taxonomy places the organism in Eukaryota, Metazoa, Nematoda, Chromadorea, Rhabditida, Metastrongylidae. The record is from the annotation of a GenBank genome assembly.